AUACUGUUCAGUGUCUGAGACCACCUCCUGAUGCCCGUGCAAGAUGUAGGACCCUCAGCUACUUCUCUAGCACCUUGUUUGCCUGCAUGCCACCAUGUUCCCCACCGUGGUUAUCAUAGACUGAACUUCUGAACUGACUAUGCUGCUAAGGGAGGAAAGCAAUCGCAAAUCAUAUCCAGCUGUGACGCCUAUGAAUAAGCCACCAGGACAAUGACCAGCAUGACAAGCUAUCCAUAAAGAUCAAAGGAACUCCUGUUAUGAAGCAGGAGACUGUCUACAGAAAGUCACAGCUCCUCAAAACGCAAAGGAAAACAAACCACAGGGAGCCCAGCAUGAAUCCAUACACCUGCAGCUGCCCCUGAGACUCAGGGAGCAUCAUGGAAGAGGGAUAAAAAGAUUUAAGAGCCAGAGGAAGUCUGUUGUGAGGUUGUGUCUUGUAGCUAUGAUAGCGAAGCUAUACCCACAAAAUCUCAAUAACAUGGCUGUCUAGACAAGACCUGAACAAUUCCAACAGUAGUUGGCAUUCCAACACAGGUGGGGAAAUUUCAUGCAGCCUCCCACCAGAUGAAAAGCUACAAGUAAUCGACAACUGCUAAGGUAGUGAAUAACUCACUCUUCCCUAAGGAUGAGUAUUCUGAUUGGUUAUCCAAUACCAAGUGGUCAGCCCAAGAAACAAUACAGGAAAAGCAGAUCAGAACCACUAAGGACCCACCAAGGCACGGAUGCCUGCCGCACAUCUGCUCUGCCCUGCUGCAAUCUCAGCUUCCCUCUUGUUUUCUCCGAUAUUUGUCAUUUAUGGAUCAGAGAGAAACCCAUCUUUCUGAUUUACAUGAGAUAAAGAGAAGAAAUAAUCCCAUUUCAUCCCCAAUUCUGAACUGGGAAACUUACAAAUGAACUGGAUGGGGGAAAGUUUCUCUUUUCUGUCCCUAGUAAGUAUUUGUCUUGUACCCAAGACCCACAAUUCCAGAAGUGAAGACAGGAGGAAAGACCACAUGAAGUCUCCAGCCUCCACAUGAUGGAAGUGCACAGCAUGUCCCAUGUCCAGGUAAGGGAAGUAAGCAGCAGUUAGGUGUCAAAGCAAAAGCUAUAGCUGUCACCAUAAAGGUAUUAAAAGACAUCUUAUUCUGGAGCCAUUUUGAGUGACCAUAGCCUUGGAACAUAGGUUUAAGUUAUCCCAAAUUCCAUAUUCCAACUGUGGAAGCAAUUUCACAAAGUUGAUAUUUUUACACAACACAGUCAUAAAUCAAGACACACUUAAAAUACAUUGAUGGGUACAUCAGAGAGGUGGUUACAGAAAGAUGGGGGAAGCUUUUUAAUAGGCUUAAGAUGCUACCUUAUGACAUUCUUAGUGUUUGGAUUGGUGGGAGCUAGUGGUCUGCUAAAUUAAUAGAUUUCAAAAGGUUUUUAUCUGUUUGUCAUGGGAUGUUAGUUCUGUUGCAGGGGUAGGUAACAAAUGGCUGUUGGAAGAUGGUAGAACUAAACCUAGAUUAGGUACGUAGGCACAUUCAGAUCUCUCCACGGUACUGCUGUUCUAAUCAAUAGGUCUCUGCAGGCACAGCUUCUUCUCAGUUCUUGUUUGCAUAGGUGUUGCCCCCUUCCCACUCUAGACAGUAUGGCUACGUAGACUCCAGGCAGGAUGAUCACUGAUGACUGAAGCUGCCUUAAACAGAAGCCAUAAACACAAUGAAUCAUCUCUAUCUGAACAGAGAGUUAUUGCAAACAGUAAAAAAUAAAGACCAGGACAGGGAGAUUCUGGGUCUCAGUCUCUUACUGUUCUGAAAUAUCUAUAACACUGUUAAUUAAAGGACAUAAGUUUUGGGGAGCUAGCUAAGAGGAGUGGUGGCCCAGAUGAGGCUGAUCCAGUAAUAGUACUACCUUGUCCAUAACUGUGUAAGGAUUUGCCAGGUGGCCUAUUUAGGUUAGUUGGGCACCAAAUGAAGCACAAUUAAUAAAAGCUCAGGGUCAGAGAUUGGGGUUUGAGCAAAACAGCCAGCCAUUGGCUCUUACCUCAACCUCAGUCUGAAAUGGCGAUCCUACCUCCCAAAAUCUCAGAAUGAGACUAUGUCUGAGAGCUGUCUCCCUCCUGUUAAAUUCUUCUCUAGGGAUGGAAUUAAAGGCAUGAACCACCCGAUUUCUAUGGCAACUAGUGUGACUACUGCGGAUA
Myodes glareolus (Bank vole) is the source of this 2164-nucleotide long non-coding RNA. RefSeq lists it as uncharacterized. The record is from RefSeq and is a predicted model, not a curated record. NCBI's taxonomy places the organism in Eukaryota, Metazoa, Chordata, Mammalia, Rodentia, Cricetidae.